GACACUGUUGCCAGGGGAGGUAGAAUCUGCCUUCCCAUAGCUAUCCCGCCAACGCCACCACCCCCAGGAGCGGGAAGGGAUGGAAUAAAGGCCUACUUACUAUCUUUGGCCCAGCAGGAGGUGAGAGGGUUCUUGAGGAAGACUUCAAGAAAAUCGUUGCAGAGUUUGGAGGUGCUCCUUCCGAAGGAGAAUUCCCAUCUCACUCGCUGGCUUAGUAUCUUCUUAGACAGCAGACUUUUUGACCUGCCCUUUACCUACCCAAACAGUGACCUAGGAGAACUAGAGGCAAACCGGGGGGAGGAGAGAGGGACCCCACUGCCCAGCUGCAGCACCACCACGUAGCCCUGCAAAGGAUUCCAGGACACGUUAUGGAAAAUCACCAAGCUUGAGCUCUUUGCCGUUGUCCCCGAGGGCAAGCUGUAAAGCAGAAAUCCGACAGCGAGAAGCUUGGGUCUCCUGAAGGAGUGGCCUCUGGACAAGUCGGGAACCGGAAGCAUCAGAGAAGAGAAGGGAACCGGAAGAUCCAGAGCAGAGACAUGUGCAGGCAGAGGCUUCUGCUGUGUCCCUGGAAGACUCACAUGGACAGUCUGGAAGAAAGCCAACAUCGGGACCCCUGACACACAGCCCAAAGUCAGAAAGGUGAAAAGCAAGUGCCGUCAUGCACAAUUACAUCAGUUCGGCUUCAGAAUAAAACAACAACAACAAUCCUGUGUGCUGUUUGGGGUUCGCCAGAAUAAAAGUUAUGUGAAAUGAACAAAGCGAAUCACCAUCCAA
Molecule: long non-coding RNA, 774 nt
Organism: Felis catus (domestic cat)
Lineage: Eukaryota; Metazoa; Chordata; Mammalia; Carnivora; Felidae
Exons: 2
Source: RefSeq, a predicted model, not a curated record